Molecule: long non-coding RNA, 1973 nt
Organism: Camelus dromedarius (Arabian camel)
Lineage: Eukaryota; Metazoa; Chordata; Mammalia; Artiodactyla; Camelidae
Exons: 3
Source: RefSeq, a predicted model, not a curated record
UUGCGCUUUUUCUAACUCAUGUCUCUUAAGUGUUUUAAAAAACCUGCUGGGUUUUUUAAUGACUUCUGUGCCGUAUUUUGCAUUUUCCCUUUAUUCCCAGAGAGGAAAUGAUGGCAAACUAAGUAAUACUGUGCAUCCACGGUCAAAAGCAAACCUUUGUUUUGAUGAAUUGUUGACAAAGUUUUCCAAAUUAAUUUCUUUUCUCUUAAAUAUUUAUGUAUAAAUGUUCAAUUAAGUCUUAUCUUGGUAUCUAAUUGUCAAGAAAAUAUACUGGAAAAUGGACAAAAUGCUUGUGCUGAGGUUGGCAGCAGUGACUGACGAGUUUUGCCCCACCUUUGCCCUCUUCACCUGAAAGGAAACAGGAAGAAGAGGCUGGACACGCUCCCUAACAUCCCCUUGCAAGACGAUUGGAGCGGAGCGGACACACUUGCUGCUGAGAUGCCGGGAGGCUGAGCUGUUGGGCCAGACUGGAGGUGCUUCCACAUGGUAUUUGUUCAUCUUCAGAUAAUCCUGUUAAAUGGGAAACGUUCCUCUCUUUUCACGGAUGAGGAAACAAAAUACGGAGCUUUUCCCAGGAAUCAUCGCCAGAAAAUGUAGAGCCUGAAUUUAAAAGCCAGUCAAAACAGGGGACCUCAUAGUCCACUUACAUAGUAUAGCCGCUGAGGAAGAUGCGGCCCUCCAGCCCUCUGGUUGAAUGGUGACCUGCAAAUACGUGGUAGAGAAGGACCAGGAGGGCCACGCCCUGUCCACCUGCACACCGUGUGCUCCAUCCAGUCGGGCCACCUGGGCACUGCUUCAUGAAGCAGGGAGAGGCACUCAGGCUGAGGAACAGGCGUCGCAGCCUUGCCCCCACCACCUCUGCCCUCUUCCACACGGGUGUCUGUCCACACGAAGGGGCCGGUUUGCACCCCCUUGGAGCUGUACCUUCAGGAAGCCAGCUUCGCUCUGGAAAAUCAGGCUCUCUUCUGACCUGGUAAUUUAAAUCCCAGCUGAUCUGACCCAGAUGGACUGAGACCAAGUGGAAGUCCUGGAAGCGAUGCCUUGGGAUUCUCUGGGAAGCGGAGGUUAAGGAAGGGAAGGACCAGGCAGUAACUGUGUGUCUCUGCCACAGCCAGACCAUCCGUCCCAGCAUGAGAGCCUCGGGGUGAGUCUGGGGCCCGCCCAGGAAGCUCGGGGCCUCAGGGCCAGCGCUGCGGUUUCUGAACACAGGGGAGACAGCAGGGUGACGUGAGCUCAGGGCUAGGGUGAGUCCUUUUUUGCCCGAAGGGUUUACUUCAGACCUGCUUUGUCUUGCAGGGGUGUGUGUGUUCAUUUCCAUGCGAAUCACCACUGUCCUGUCUUAGUGAGGUGUUGGUGUUGGCCUCUCUUAAUUACUGCACUGCAGUGGAGAGGGUCCCCUCCAGAAUCGUGUCCGCCCAGGACCUGUGAGUGUGACUGUUUGGAAACAGGACCUUUGCAAUUGUAGUCAAGUUAAGAUGAGGUCAUCCUGGGUCAGUGUGGCCCUAAUGCAGUGAUGGGGUCCUUACAAGAAAAGGGAAAUUUGGACACAGACAUGGAGGAGAGACGGCCAUGUGGAGAUGGAUGGAGACAGUGAGUGCGCAUCAGAAACAGCCAGCAGGGGCCAGGAAGAAGAAAGGAAGCCUCCUGGAGCCUUAGGAGGGAGUGGGGUCCUGCUGACACUCGGUUCUGGACUUCCAGCCUCCAGAGCUGUGAGAGGCUACGUUCUGUGGCUUCAAGCCACUAAAUUAUGGUACCUUGUUACGGGCAGUCCUAGAAAACUAAUACAGUUCCCUUUAUACAUUCUUUUUUUGUUGUUGUUCUUUUUUAUUGACGUGUAGUCGGCUUACCAUGUUGUGUCAGUUACACAUUUUUAAAAUGUGUAGACUUAACAAUUUUUGUAGGCUUUUAUAUAUUUUAUAUUUCAAUGAGGCAAUUACACUUUGGUAUAAAAAUCAACUAAACACAAAAUUUUC